UGCAGCUGUGGCACAACUGCCGUGUGGACCAGGUUCCCAUUCACCACAAGGCGGAUCUCCAUGGAGUCGGUGGUGAAGGCCAGGAGCACCGUUCCUGCCUGCCUGUGCCUUCACCAGGGUUCAGGGUCCUUGGCUCUGUGCGCGCCUGCUCUCUGGCACCCCUUUACGCCGGCCCUCCUUGUACCCAUGCCUCAUCGAGCGUCUGCCCAGGAGAUUCUGACAGCGGAGACAGGAGCGAGGCACCUGGCAGCCCACUUGGCUUGUUGUGUGUUUUCCUUGUGAUGAGAAGCAGUUUAUUGCGAAUUGC
Molecule: long non-coding RNA, 307 nt
Organism: Apodemus sylvaticus (European woodmouse)
Lineage: Eukaryota; Metazoa; Chordata; Mammalia; Rodentia; Muridae
Exons: 3
Source: RefSeq, a predicted model, not a curated record